UAACACAUGCAAGUCGAGCGGGGGAAGGUAGCUUGCUACCGGACCUAGCGGCGGACGGGUGAGUAAUGCUUAGGAAUCUGCCUAUUAGUGGGGGACAACAUCUCGAAAGGGAUGCUAAUACCGCAUACGUCCUACGGGAGAAAGCAGGGGAUCUUCGGACCUUGCGCUAAUAGAUGAGCCUAAGUCGGAUUAGCUAGUUGGUGGGGUAAAGGCCUACCAAGGCGACGAUCUGUAGCGGGUCUGAGAGGAUGAUCCGCCACACUGGGACUGAGACACGGCCCAGACUCCUACGGGAGGCAGCAGUGGGGAAUAUUGGACAAUGGGGGGAACCCUGAUCCAGCCAUGCCGCG
RNAcentral lists this ribosomal RNA (350 nucleotides) under Acinetobacter baumannii OIFC137. RNAcentral describes it as "bacterial SSU rRNA". It matches the Rfam family "Bacterial small subunit ribosomal RNA", at positions 49 to 401 of the family's 1533-position model. Lineage: Bacteria; Pseudomonadati; Pseudomonadota; Gammaproteobacteria; Moraxellales; Moraxellaceae. The record is from RNAcentral.